ACAAAAACACACAAAACAAUCAAACAAACAAAAAUAAAACAAUCUGAAAAUAUAGUGUCCAGUCCGAAUUAUACAGUCCCAAAAAUAUAAAAAUACAAAAAUGUAACUCCUAUUCUAAACUAAUUCUAAACUAUUCUCCAAUACCUUACCCGAUGCGUCGGGCCUUGAUCACGAACAUCCUCCGAAUACAAAAUACUUCGGGGCAUUCCCCGGCCAAAUGAUACACUUGAUCCAAAUAAGAUAACAAAAAAAAGUUCAAAACACACAUUUAAACAUUCAAGGCAUUCAAUCAACACAUCACUCCUAAAUUUUUGCCUACCCAAACCUAUAUUGCCUAUUCAUUUCACCAUAUCGUAAAUCUAUCACGUUCAUGCUUAUCCCGAAUUAAAGAAAAUGGCAACGGAACAAAAUUUAACUACAAUCAACUUCUAUCAAAUUCUUAAUUACACCCCUAAAUUCAUUCUCAACUAAUGAUUAACCUAGCUUCGAUUAUCAAUUCAAUUUCUCGCACCCAAAUUCAACAUCAACCAGCAUCAACCAUACACACAGUAAAGGCUCAAGCAUGAUAAGCAUACCAAAACAUUCACGUCUGCAAGAACAAUCAAAAUUUGAGAUAAAAAUAGAGAAUGAAAGAAAUGGACCUCAAGUUUCUCUUUCAAAAUCAAUGUAUUAUUUCAAUUAAAUCCGACUUCUCCACAUCCGAAGCCUUUGAGUCGAACCUCAACAGCAGACCCAGUCCAAACUCGGUACUACCAAAAUUAAAACCCCGAACUGACCACAAUGAUCCAAUAUCUCGCUAAAAUCUAACGGAAAAUCAAACACCCGCAAGGUUCAAACUCCGAUGAGUCAUCGGUGAUGCAGACGACCAGAACAACCAGUCGCCGGACGGAUUCCAUCUGAAAUUGAAGAACAACGGAGGGAGGUUUGACCGUUUUAUACGAAUGACGAACGGAAGGGAUGACUCCGGCGAAUCUAUUGCCAGAACAGUAACCCGAAAUCAACCCUGCUUCCUUCUUCGUUAUGGAUCUAGACCUCUCUCACUCUAUCUCCCUCCCAUUCUCGAAUCUCUCUCUCUCUUUCUCUUCUCCCUCUCAUGAUCUUUCUCUCAAUCUCUCUGUGUGUCAUUUUCUAUUUUGUGAUGAGAAAACCAUGUGCGAAGCCUUUUCCGAUGACAACCAGUGUGUGAUAUAGAUUUAUGUGUUCUUAGUGGAAUCAGAUGGUGAGUAUGGGUAUGGUCAUGAAUGAAAAAUGAAGCUCUACCAUUGUUGUGAUAUGCGUGUAUGGUAUUUUAGUGGUGUCAGGUGGGUGUUAAUGGUGGAGUGAUGGUUUUGUCAUGGUGUUAAUGGAGUGUGUGCGAUGGUGCUGAUUGUGAGGGAAUUUUGUGAAGGUGUCUGUGGUAAUUGUAUAUUCCUUUUUAUUUGUGAGAGUGUAUAUAUAUUAUAUUUUGUUCCCUUAAAACAAAAUGGUUCCUUGUGGGCUUUCCUGGAAGUUUCCUAGUGGGCCCCUUUCUAAUUUUUAUCCCUUUUUGCCUUUGUGGACAAGAAAUAUGAGGGGGAGGGGGUCACGUGGGUAUGGGGUAUUGGGGGUAGGGGUAUGGGUAAUUUGUCUUCUUUUAAUUGAAAGGGUUGUUAGGAUGUUAAAAGAAUAAAAGUUUGUUAGGAAUUUUGUUGAGAGUUAUUUUUUUGUAUUUUUAUGGGAUGUAAUUACAUGGGAGAGGGUACACGGUAGGAUAAGGUAAAAAUGGAGAAAACGAUAUCGGGGAGGGACGAAAUUACAUGUCUACAUCAUGCUCCCUUUGAAUGUAAACACGCAGUGUUUUCAGACAAAGAAGUAAACAACGAGACCAAAUUUUAUCUCGAUCAUUAUUCAAAGAGAGGAGUAAAAGAAAGAAAGACAACCGAAUCCUUUAGGACACCCUACCUACCCAAGUCAUGAGGAAGUUAAGUGAUAGGUGUUUCAAAGGAUUGGAAAGAGAUGGACUAUACCGAGUUGGAGAGUCGAGUGAGGUUCCAUAGAGGUUUCAAAACACACAUUUAAACAUUCAAGGCAUUCAAUCAACACAUCACUCCUAAAUUUUUGCCUACCCAAACCUAUAUUGCCUAUUCAUUUCACCAUAUCGUAAAUCUAUCACGUUCAUGCUUAUCCCGAAUUAAAGAAAAUGGCAACGGAACAAAAUUUAACUACAAUCAACUUCUAUCAAAUUCUUAAUUACACCCCUAAAUUCAUUCUCAACUAAUGAUUAACCUAGCUUCGAUUAUCAAUUCAAUUUCUCGCACCCAAAUUCAACAUCAACCAGCAUCAACCAUACACACAGUAAAGGCUCAAGCAUGAUAAGCAUACCAAAACAUUCACGUCUGCAAGAACAAUCAAAAUUUGAGAUAAAAAUAGAGAAUGAAAGAAAUGGACCUCAAGUUUCUCUUUCAAAAUCAAUGUAUUAUUUCAAUUAAAUCCGACUUCUCCACAUCCGAAGCCUUUGAGUCGAACCUCAACAGCAGACCCAGUCCAAACUCGGUACUACCAAAAUUAAAACCCCGAACUGACCACAAUGAUCCAAUAUCUCGCUAAAAUCUAACGGAAAAUCAAACACCCGCAAGGUUCAAACUCCGAUGAGUCAUCGGUGAUGCAGACGACCAGAACAACCAGUCGCCGGACGGAUUCCAUCUGAAAUUGAAGAACAACGGAGGGAGGUUUGACCGUUUUAUACGAAUGACGAACGGAAGGGAUGACUCCGGCGAAUCUAUUGCCAGAACAGUAACCCGAAAUCAACCCUGCUUCCUUCUUCGUUAUGGAUCUAGACCUCUCUCACUCUAUCUCCCUCCCAUUCUCGAAUCUCUCUCUCUCUUUCUCUUCUCCCUCUCAUGAUCUUUCUCUCAAUCUCUCUGUGUGUCAUUUUCUAUUUUGUGAUGAGAAAACCAUGUGCGAAGCCUUUUCCGAUGACAACCAGUGUGUGAUAUAGAUUUAUGUGUUCUUAGUGGAAUCAGAUGGUGAGUAUGGGUAUGGUCAUGAAUGAAAAAUGAAGCUCUACCAUUGUUGUGAUAUGCGUGUAUGGUAUUUUAGUGGUGUCAGGUGGGUGUUAAUGGUGGAGUGAUGGUUUUGUCAUGGUGUUAAUGGAGUGUGUGCGAUGGUGCUGAUUGUGAGGGAAUUUUGUGAAGGUGUCUGUGGUAAUUGUAU
Molecule: long non-coding RNA, 3171 nt
Filed under: Capsicum annuum
Lineage: Eukaryota; Viridiplantae; Streptophyta; Magnoliopsida; Solanales; Solanaceae
Description: long non-coding RNA (CANN_LNC022220)
Source: RNAcentral